CAUUACUGAAAGAUAAGAGAGUUUUGAGACUACGUUUUUAUCGUGUGCUCGACUCUUACUCUUUAUCCACACACCCCUUUGUGCACCAUGGGAGACCGUAAGUGUCACCCCUUUUUGACAUUAAACACAAAGUUAUAUGCAUGUCUUUAUAUAUACUCUACGGAGUUAAAUGUAACAACUUUUAACAACGGAUCUCUUGGCUUUCGCAUCGAUGAAGAACGCAGCGAACGUGCGAAACGUAAUGUGAAUUGCAGAAUUCAGUGAAUCAUCGAAUCUUUGAACGCAUCUUGCGCUCCUUGGUAUUCCGAGGAGCAUGCCUGUUUGAGUGUCGUGAAUACUCUCAAUUUCAAUCUUUUUGUUUGAAAUUGGAUUUGGAUGUUGUUGUUGACGCAUUAACGACUCGUCCUAAAUACAUUAGCGAUCUGGCUUGAUCACACACAAUGUGAUAAAUUAUUUCAUCAUUGUUAUACUCAAGUCAUGACUGCUUCUAACCGUCGAAAGACACCGCAUAUAUGCAUGUCAUUUGACCUCAAAUCAGGUAGGACUACCCGCUGAACUUAAGCAUAUCAAUA
RNAcentral lists this ribosomal RNA (572 nucleotides) under Geastrum minimum. Its description in RNAcentral is "eukaryotic LSU rRNA". The stretch from base 177 to 331 matches the Rfam family "5.8S ribosomal RNA". Lineage: Eukaryota; Fungi; Basidiomycota; Agaricomycetes; Geastrales; Geastraceae. The record is from RNAcentral.